GACGAACGCUGGCGGCGUGCUUAACACAUGCAAGUCGAACGGAAAGGCCUGCUUUCCCUUGUGUAUUGCGGGUACUCGAGUGGCGAACGGGUGAGUAACACCUGAGUGAUCCUCCCCCAACUUUGCUAUAAGCCUGGGAAACUGGGGCUAAUUCCCGAUUGGACCGCAGGGUGGGUCCUGAAGUUGAAAACGAUUUUCUAGUGGUUGUGGAUGAGCUGGCGGCCUAUCAGCUUGUUGGUUGGGUAAUGGCCUACCAAGGCGGGGACGGGUAGCCGGCCUGGGAGGGUCGACGUGAGAAUUGGGACUGAGACACGGCCCAGACUACUACGGGAGGCAGCAGUGGGGAAGCUUGCGCAGUGAGCGGAAGACUGAUGCAGCGAGGCCGCGUGGGGGAUGACGGGUUUCGGGUUGUAGCCUCCUUUCGACAGAGAGGAAGCGACCUGGUUGGAAGGGUGGUGACGGUAGUGGUAGAAGAAGCACCGGCUAACUACGUG
This 494-nucleotide ribosomal RNA is filed under the name uncultured bacterium. RNAcentral describes it as "partial 16S ribosomal RNA". It matches the Rfam family "Bacterial small subunit ribosomal RNA", at positions 28 to 507 of the family's 1533-position model. The record is from RNAcentral.